GGAAUGUAGAGUUGUUAUAGCAUCUUGGUUGCUGGUUUUUUUGCUGCAAGAAGGUUUUUGGUGGUCACUUGUUGAUGCUCUUAAGUCAAAUACUUUGAUCUUUUGCCUAAGGUAUGUUAUUUAAUUUCUUAACAUUGGAUGUUUAAUGCUAGUUUGUUUGUGUUGUCAUGGAUUGAAUGUUGUAUGAACUAAUGUCAUCAAUGGUUGUUAGUUGGAGUGUAAA
This is a long non-coding RNA of Lotus japonicus, 223 nucleotides long. RefSeq lists it as uncharacterized. The transcript has 2 exons. The record is from RefSeq and is a predicted model, not a curated record. Lineage: Eukaryota; Viridiplantae; Streptophyta; Magnoliopsida; Fabales; Fabaceae.